Molecule: ribosomal RNA, 256 nt
Filed under: uncultured prokaryote
Description: partial 16S ribosomal RNA
Rfam family: Bacterial small subunit ribosomal RNA
Source: RNAcentral
UAAUACAGAGGUGGCAAGCGUUGUUCGGAAUUACUGGGCGUAAAGGGCGCGUAGGCGGUCGCCUCAGUCGGACGUGAAAUCCCCAGGCUUAACUUGGGAACGGCGUCCGAUACUGGGUGACUGGAGUUCGGGAGAGGAAUGUGGAAUUCCAGGUGUAGCGGUGAAAUGCGUAGAUAUCUGGAGGAACACCGGUGGCGAAGGCGGCAUUCUGGACCGAAACUGACGCUGAGGCGCGAAUGCCAGGGGUGCAAACAGG